Oncorhynchus tshawytscha (Chinook salmon) is the source of this 1075-nucleotide long non-coding RNA. The record is from Ensembl. NCBI's taxonomy places the organism in Eukaryota, Metazoa, Chordata, Actinopteri, Salmoniformes, Salmonidae.
GUAUUUUUCCGUUUGCCUCUGAUGACAAACCGACUGCAAGGAAUGAUUUUUCAUCGAAUAGAAUUGUGAAAAACACCUUGAGGAUUGAUUCUAAACAACGUUUGCCAUGUUUCUGUUGAUAUUAUGAAGCUAAUUUGGAAAAAAGUUUGGCGUUGUAAGUGACUGCAUUUUCGUUUUUUUUUCUUAGCCAAACGUGAUGAACAAAACGGAGCUAUUUCUUUUCCACAAAUAAUCUUUUUGGAAAAAAUUUACAUUCGCUAUUUGAGAGUCUCGUCAUUGAAAACAUCCGAAAUUCUUCAAAGGGAAGACAUCCUCCUCCCUCAUGUGGUACCCUUCCUGCAGGCUCAUCCUGACAUGACCCUCCAGAAUGACAAUGCCACCAGCCAUAUUGCUCGUUCUGUGCGAUAUUUCCUGCAGGACAUGAAUGUCAGUGUUCUGCCAUGGCCAGCAAAGAGCUCGGAUCUCAAUCCCAUUGAGCACGUCUGGGACCUGUUGCAUCAGAGGGUGAGGCCUCGGGCCAUUCCCCCCAGAAAUGUCCAGGAAAUUGUAGGUGCCUUGGUGGAAGAGUGGGGUAACAUCUCACAGCAAGGACACAUUAUUCCAUUUCUGUUAGUCACAUGUCUGUGGAACAUGUUCAGUUUAUGUCUCAGUUGUUGAAUCUUAUGUUCAUACACAUAUUUACACAUGUUAAGUUUGCUUUAAAUUAAAGCAGUUGACAAUGAGAGGACAUUUCUUUUUUUUCCUGAGUUUAUAAUAUGACAUGCUGUUUUCAUGUCACUUUUAAGAAAUAUGACAGGAAACCUGCCCUGUACACAUCACUUUUGGAAAAUCCCAUAGAAAUGCAUUGUUCAGCAGAGAGACAGGUAACCCAUUAUGGAGAGACCUUUCAGUCUUUACACAAAGUUAGUAAACUACAUAAAGAUGUCUAGCCAUAGUGCCAUUGCAGAUUUAAUAACCUAUUACGCUCUAAAGACCAGUUUUUAAAAAAAUGAACGCCAACCAGCUACACUGGUUCUAAUUGGGCAGGAUUGACAUGGCCACAAUGAUGACUUAAAAUGUUUGAGGUGGUGUGGAG